UACGGAGGGUGCAAGCGUUGUUCGGAAUCAUUGGGCGUAGAGCGCGUGUAGGCGGCUUGGCAAGUCAGUUGUGAAAGCCCGGGGCCCAACCCCGGAACUGCAUCUGAAACUGCCUGGCUCGAGUCCCGGAGAGGAAGGCAGAAUUCCCGGUGUAGGGGUGAAAUCCGUAGAUAUCGGGAGGAAUACCAGCGGCGAAGGCGGCCUUCUGGACGGUGACUGACGCUGAGACGCGAAAGCGUGGGGAGCAAACAGG
RNAcentral lists this ribosomal RNA (253 nucleotides) under uncultured bacterium. RNAcentral's name for it is "partial 16S ribosomal RNA". It matches the Rfam family "Bacterial small subunit ribosomal RNA", at positions 524 to 776 of the family's 1533-position model. The record is from RNAcentral.